UUUUUNUUUUUUUUUUUUUUUUCUGGUUGUUCUUGACUUCUUGUUCAAACUUGAAGUGUAAUAUCCUGCAAAUAAGAAGCUUGGAAAGUUGGAAACCAACCAACAAUAGUCAAUCAAUACCUACCGAGUCAUUCCACCCUCAGCACGGAAUCUUGCAUUCAAUUUGAUAUUUGAUAUAGCCAAGGUGGAAGAUAUUCGUAUAGGCGAUGACUAUGUGGAUGUGGAACUUUUAAAUCCCACCACAGUUCUGAUGUGUAUUGGUGUUGAUCUGAUAUCUCUUGUCAACAUAACGUGAAUCAGGUCUCUUCCGCGAGAUUCGGUGAUUACGCAUACCCGGCGGGUUCUUAAUCUGGGUUAAAGUUUACUUUUACGAGAGGACAACAGUGUUGGGUUAUUGGUGUUGAUGGAUUCGACACGUCUCUUCCUGCGGAUGAUAUCAAGAAGGCGUUGAAGGAUCACUUCCGUUCAUGUGGAGUUAUCCUUAAUGUUGAAUUCCCCGGACUCAACUGUCCUGCUUCUGUUAUUAUCGUCGGAGAUGACGUAAAUGACAAGGCCUCGGAAAAUAACGGAAGUGAAGUGGGAGGACGGAAACUAUUGUUACUGCUAAGGUUUGGCUAGUGGUGAAAAUAUUGGAUGUUCCUUUUGCCUAAUAAGAUGACUGACGAAGAGGAGUCAGCUCUGCUCUUUGGUGUUUUCAGAUCGUGAUACACUGCAACCUUUUACCCUUUUGUUUCUUUCUUAUGACUUGUGUGUGGCCCUCUAGGAUUUUCUUCUGGAUGUUGUUUAAGUAAGCCCACUGUCUAUGACGUUUGUUUGUGAAUGAUAAAAGUAAGCCCAAUAGUCGUUAUC
Camelina sativa (false flax) is the source of this 849-nucleotide long non-coding RNA. RefSeq lists it as uncharacterized. Lineage: Eukaryota; Viridiplantae; Streptophyta; Magnoliopsida; Brassicales; Brassicaceae. The record is from RefSeq and is a predicted model, not a curated record.